This 400-nucleotide ribosomal RNA is filed under the name uncultured bacterium. RNAcentral's name for it is "bacterial SSU rRNA". It matches the Rfam family "Bacterial small subunit ribosomal RNA", at positions 355 to 747 of the family's 1533-position model. The record is from RNAcentral.
UGGGGAAUUUUGGACAAUGGGGGCAACCCUGAUCCAGCCAUGCCGCGUGUGCGAAGAAGGCCUUCGGGUUGUAAAGCACUUUUGUCAGGAACGAAAAGUUUCGCACUAAUACUGCGGGACGAUGACGGUACCUGAAGAAUAAGCACCGGCUAACUACGUGCCAGCAGCCGCGGUAAUACGUAGGGUGCAAGCGUUAAUCGGAAUUACUGGGCGUAAAGCGUGCGCAGGUGGUUGUGUAAGACAGAUGUGAAAUCCCCGGGCUCAACCUGGGAACUGCAUUUGUGACUGCACGGCUAGAGUGUGUCAGAGGGGGGUGGAAUUCCACGUGUAGCAGUGAAAUGCGUAGAUAUGUGGAGGAACACCAAUGGCGAAGGCAGCCCCCUGGGAUAACACUGACGCU